ACAGCAGCCGCCACGGUAAUACGGAGGAUCCGAGCGUUAUCCGGAAUUAUUGGGUUUAAAGGGUGCGUAGGCGGAUAGAUAAGUCAGUGGUGAAAGACGGUGGCUCAACCAUCGCAGUGCCGUUGAUACUGUUUAUCUUGAAUAUGGAUGAGGUAGGCGGAAUGUGGCAAGUAGCGGUGAAAUGCAUGGAUAUGCCACAGAACACCGAUUGCGAAGGCAGCUUACCAAGGCAAAAUUGACGCUGAGGCACGAAAGCGUGGGGAUCGAACAGGAUUAGAUACCCCCGUAGUCCCUGUCUCUUAUAC
Molecule: ribosomal RNA, 305 nt
Filed under: uncultured bacterium
Lineage: Bacteria
Description: partial 16S ribosomal RNA
Rfam family: Bacterial small subunit ribosomal RNA
Source: RNAcentral